UACGAAGGGGGCUAGCGUUGCUCGGAAUCACUGGGCGUAAAGGGUGCGUAGGCGGGUUUUUAAGUCAGGGGUGAAAUCCUGGAGCUCAACUCCAGAACUGCCUUUGAUACUGAAGAUCUUGAGUCUGGGAGAGGUGAGUGGAACUGCGAGUGUAGAGGUGAAAUUCGUAGAUAUUCGCAAGAACACCAGUGGCGAAGGCGGCUCACUGGCCCGGUACUGACGCUGAGGCACGAAAGCGUGGGGAGCAAACAGG
Molecule: ribosomal RNA, 253 nt
Filed under: uncultured bacterium
Lineage: Bacteria
Description: partial 16S ribosomal RNA
Rfam family: Bacterial small subunit ribosomal RNA
Source: RNAcentral